GCAGUGGUGGUUCGGUGGUAGAAUGCUCACCUUCCACGUGGGAGAUCUGGGUUCGGUUCCCAGCCAAUGCG
RNAcentral lists this transfer RNA (71 nucleotides) under Loxodonta africana (African savanna elephant). It matches the Rfam family "tRNA". Rfam says of the family: Transfer RNA (tRNA) molecules are approximately 80 nucleotides in length. Their secondary structure includes four short double-helical elements and three loops (D, anti-codon, and T loops). The record is from Rfam by way of RNAcentral. Lineage: Eukaryota; Metazoa; Chordata; Mammalia; Proboscidea; Elephantidae.